Molecule: ribosomal RNA, 869 nt
Filed under: uncultured archaeon
Lineage: Archaea
Description: bacterial SSU rRNA
Rfam family: Archaeal small subunit ribosomal RNA
Source: RNAcentral
CUUCCGGUUGAUCCCGCCGGACCCGACUGCUAUCAGAGUGGGACUAAGCCAUGCGAGUCAACGUAGCAAUACGUGGCAUACGGCUCAGUAACACGUAGUCAACAUGCCCAGGGGACGAGGAUAACCUCGGGAAACUGAGGAUAAACCUCGAUAGGCCAUGAUUUCUGGAAUGAUUCUUGGCUCAAACCUAUAUGGCCCCUGGAUUGGACUGCGGCCGAUCAGGCUGUUGGUGAGGUAAUGGCCCACCAAACCUAUUACCGGUACGGGCUCUGAGAGGAGGAGCCCGGAGAUGGGCACUGAGACAAGGGCCCAGGCCCUAUGGGGCGCAGCAGGCGCGAAACCUCUGCAAUAGGCGAAAGCCUGACAGGGUUACUCUGAGUGAUUUUCGUUAAGGAGAUCUUUUGGCACCUCUAAAAAUGGUGCAGAAUAAGGGGUGGGCAAGUCUGGUGUCAGCCGCCGCGGUAAUACCAGCACCCCGAGUGGUCGGGACGUUUAUUGGGCCUAAAGCAUCCGUAGCCGGUUCUGCAAGUCCCCCGUUAAAUCCAGCUGCUCAACAGAUGGGCCGCGGAGGAUACUACAGAGCUAGGAGGCAGGAGAGGCAAGCGGUACUCAGUGGGUAGGGGUAAAAUCCGUUGAUCCAUUGAAGACCACCAGUGGCGAAGGCGGCUUGCCAGAAUGCGCUCGACGGUGAGGGAUGAAAGCUGGGGGAGCAAACCGGAUUAGAUACCCGGGUAGUCCCAGCCGUAAACGAUGCAGACUCGGUGAUGAGUUGGCUUAUUGCUAACUCAGUGCCGCAGGGAAGCCGUUAAGUUUGCCGCCUGGGGAGUACGGUCGCAAGACUGAAACUUAAAGGAAUUGGCGGGGGAGCA